GACGAACGCUGGCGGCGUGCCUAAUACAUGCAAGUCGAACGAGAGCAACCGGUGCUUGCCCUGGUCAAUCUAGUGGCGAACGGGUGGGUAACACGUGGGUAACCUGCCCAUCAGAGGGGGAUAACAUCCGGAAACGGAUGCUAAAACCGCAUAGGUCUUCGAACCGCAUGGUUUGAAGAGGAAAAGAGGCGCAAGCUUCUGCUGAUGGAUGGACCCGCGGUGCAUUAGAUAGUUGGUGAGGUAACGGCUCACCAAGGCCGUGAUGCAUAGCCGACCUGAGAGGGUGAUCGGCCACAUUGGGACUGAGACACGGCCCAAACUCCUACGGGAGGCAGCAGUAGGGAAUCUUCCGCAAUGGACGCAAGUCUGACGGAGCAACGCCGCGUGAGUGAAGAAGGUUUUCGGAUCGUAAAACUCUGUUGUUAGAGAAGAACAAGUGCUAGAGUAACUGUUAGCGCCUUGACGGUAUCUAACCAGAAAGCCACGGCUAACUACGUG
Molecule: ribosomal RNA, 498 nt
Filed under: uncultured bacterium
Lineage: Bacteria
Description: partial 16S ribosomal RNA
Rfam family: Bacterial small subunit ribosomal RNA
Source: RNAcentral